UACGGGGGGGGCAAGCGUUGUUCGGAAUUAUUGGGCGUAAAGGGUUCGUAGGUGGCCUGCUAAGUCACACGUGAAAUCCCUCAGCUUAACUGGGGAACUGCGUGUGAUACUGGCGAGCUUGAGUGCAGGAGAGGAACGCGGAAUUCCAGGUGUAGCGGUGAAAUGCGUAGAUAUCAGGAGGAACACCAAUGGCGAAGGCAGCUCGCUGGGACGUGACUGACGCUGAGACGCGAAAGCGUGGGGAGCAAACAGG
This 253-nucleotide ribosomal RNA is filed under the name uncultured bacterium. RNAcentral describes it as "partial 16S ribosomal RNA". It matches the Rfam family "Bacterial small subunit ribosomal RNA", at positions 524 to 776 of the family's 1533-position model. The record is from RNAcentral.